This 263-nucleotide long non-coding RNA is filed under the name Nicotiana benthamiana. Its description in RNAcentral is "long non-coding RNA (NBEN_LNC028824)". Lineage: Eukaryota; Viridiplantae; Streptophyta; Magnoliopsida; Solanales; Solanaceae. The record is from RNAcentral.
GAAACUUCACCGAUCGUGACAUAUAAGGUGUGAUUUUGCCCAAAAUCACACCAGAGAACCCAUAAGUAAUAGAAAUAGAAAUCCCAAUUCCAAAUCGACAUGGCCCACGAUCUUUAAAGGCCUUAGAGGUGAUGAGCAGGGCAAUGAGAGACUUAUUGGAGGCUUGGGUUGAAAAGGAUAGUCGCCAAAGAUGACUGGAGAAUUAGGUGAGCAGAGGAGUCUAGGUUUAGGUUUGAGAGAAGAGUGGAGAUUAGAGAGUAUCU